Pelodiscus sinensis (Chinese soft-shelled turtle) is the source of this 134-nucleotide small nucleolar RNA. Ensembl annotates it as small nucleolar RNA SNORA13. Its record names the gene SNORA13. The record is from Ensembl. Lineage: Eukaryota; Metazoa; Chordata; Testudines; Trionychidae.
UGCCUUUGUGUUGCCCGCUCAUUUUUGUUACUAAUGAUUGUGGUGUCAAGAAAGGCAUAAAGAAAGUCCUUCUGCAGUAUUAUUUGAUACUGGGGAUUAAUCUCUCCCCUGAUUCUGCUGAAUAAGGGACAGUU